CUCUGGGAUAACACUUGGAAACAGGUGCUAAUACCGGAUACGACACAGACGGACAUCCGUACUGUGUGGAAAGUUCUUCGGUGAGGGAUGGGCUCGCGGCCUAUCAGUUUGUUGGUGGGGUAAUGGCCUACCAAGACGACGACGGGUAGCCGGCCUGAGAGGGCGACCGGCCACACUGGGACUGAGACACGGCCCAGACUCCUACGGGAGGCAGCAGUGGGGAAUAUUGCACAAUGGGCGAAAGCCUGAUGCAGCGACGCCGCGUGAGGGAUGAAGGCCUUCGGGUUGUAAACCUCUUUCAGCAGGGAAGAAGCGAAAGUGACGGUACCUGCAGAAGAAGCACCGGCUGACUACGUGCCAGCAGCCGCGGUAAUACGUAGGGUGCGAGCGUUGUCCGGAAUUAUUGGGCGUAAAGAGCUUGUAGGCGGUUUGUCGCGUCUGCUGUGAAAAUCCGGGACUCAAUUCCGGACUUGCAGUGGGUACGGGCAGACUAGAGUACGGUAGGGGAGACUGGAAUUCCUGGUGUAGCGGUGAAAUGCGCAGAUAUCAGGAGGAACACCAAUGGCGAAGGCAGGUCUCUGGGCCGUAACUGACGCUGAGAAGCGAAAGCAUGGGGAGCGAACAGGAUUAGAUACCCUGGUAGUCCAUGCCGUAAACGUUGGGCCCUAGGUGUGGGGCUCAUUCCACGAGCUCUGUGCCGCAGCCAACGCAUUAAGCGCCCCGCCUGGGGAGUACGGCCGCAAGGCUAAAACUCAAAGGAAUUGACGGGAGCCCGCACAAGCGGCGGAGCAUGCGGAUUAAUUCGAUGCAACGCGAAGAACCUUACCAAGGCUUGACAUAUACCGGAAACAUCUAGAGAUAGGUGCCCCGCAAGGUCGGUAUACAGGUGGUGCAUGGUUGUCGUCAGCUCGUGUCGUGAGAUGUUGGGUUAAGUCCCGCAACGAGCGCAACCCUCGUUCUAUGUUGCCAGCACGUAAUGGUGGGGACUCAUAGGAGACUGCCGGGGUCAACUCGGAGGAAGGUGGGGAUGACGUCAAAUCAUCAUGCCCCUUAUGUCUUGGGCUUCACGCAUGCUACAAUGGCCGGUACAAAGGGCUGCGAUACUGCAAGGUGGAGCGAAUCCCAAAAAACCGGUCUCAGUUCGGAUUGGGGUCUGCAACUCGACCCCAUGAAGUCGGAGUCGCUAGUAAUCGCAGAUCAGCAACGCUGCGGUGAAUACGUUCCCGGGCCUUGUACACACCGCCCGUCAAGUCACGAAAGUCGGUAACACCCGAAGCCGGUGGCCCAACCCUUGUGGAGGGAGCCGUCGAAGGUGGGACUGGCGAUUGGGACUAAGUCGAAACAAGGUA
Molecule: ribosomal RNA, 1349 nt
Filed under: metagenome
Description: bacterial SSU rRNA
Rfam family: Bacterial small subunit ribosomal RNA
Source: RNAcentral